This 468-nucleotide ribosomal RNA is filed under the name uncultured bacterium. RNAcentral describes it as "partial 16S ribosomal RNA". It matches the Rfam family "Bacterial small subunit ribosomal RNA", at positions 28 to 507 of the family's 1533-position model. The record is from RNAcentral.
GACGAACGCUGGCGGCGUGCUUAACACAUGCAAGUCGAACGGAAAGGCCCUGCUUUUGUGGGGUGCUCGAGUGGCGAACGGGUGAGUAACACGUGAGUAACCUGCCCUUGACUUUGGGAUAACUUCAGGAAACUGGGGCUAAUACCGGAUAGGAGCUCCUGCUGCAUGGUGGGGGUUGGAAAGUUUAGGCGGUUGGGGAUGGACUCGGGGCUUAUCAGCUUGUUGGUGGGGUAGUUGCUUACCAAGGCUUUGACGGGUAGCCGGCCUGAGAGGGUGGACGGCGACAUGGGGACUGAGAGACGGAGCAGACGGCUACGGGAGGCAGCAGUGGGGAAUAUUGCACAAUGGGCGGAAGCCUGAUGCAGCAACGCCGCGUGCGGGAUGACGGCCUUCGGGUUGUAAACCGCUUUCGCCUGUGACGAAGCGUGAGUGACGGUAAUGGGUAAAGAAGCACCGGCUAACUACGUG